UCACCUUUCUCCCGGCGCCAUUUUUGUUGUUUACCUCGCUGUUCAAGAGACGUUUCCUGUAAGUGACGGUGAACGCUUCCACGAAUUCCUUCUCGCCAUUGCUGAUAUAUAUCAACCUCAGUAUUAAGGCUAAGGAUGAGGAUGAUUACAUGGUAAAAGAAAAGAAAAGAAAAAAAAGAUUAAUGAUGGCUGGCCCUCAGAAAAGUUCUAUACUGGGGAAUAUAUAUUCUGUAUACUGUAUAUGAAUCGCAAAUUCAUAAUUCUGACCACAUCGUUGCGGGAUAUGUUCGAUAAGAGUUAAUUGAUUUCAA
Long non-coding RNA from Homarus americanus (American lobster), 311 nucleotides. RefSeq lists it as uncharacterized. Lineage: Eukaryota; Metazoa; Arthropoda; Malacostraca; Decapoda; Nephropidae. The transcript is spliced from 3 exons. The record is from RefSeq and is a predicted model, not a curated record.